UUUUAUCUUCUAUCCAAAAAAAUUAAAAACUUUCAUUUUCUCUGAUUUUAUUUUCCAUCAAUCCAAACAUAACUUAUUUUCCUCCAUCCCAUGAACUAUCCAAAUAUUACUAUAAGUGUAAAGUUUCCACAAACUCUUUCCAUUCCCUAGAGAAAGCUUGCCACCUUUUAACUUGGGUAGCAAGGAAUUGAAGCUUGUAGCUCUGGAAAUGAGCCUCCCAGUCCCAGAUAUGAUAGAUUUAUGCAGUGAUGAUGAGUGUGGAGAAUCAGAUGUCAUCAAAGGUUCAAGUAAGAAACCCAAAAAUCAAGGUGGUUCACUUGAUGACUCAAGCCAUCGUUUUGGAACCUCUUUACCUCCACCACCAAUAUCUCGGCAAUUCUGGAAAGCUGGGGACUAUGAAGGAGGGCAGGGACAGGUUCAUGGUGCUGCAAAUCAAAGAAAAUAUGAAAAAAAUCAUCUCCAUGUGCAUCCUAUGUUCCUUCAUUCAAAUGCAACCUCACAUAAAUGGGUUUUUGGUGCAAUAGCGGAGCUGGUUGAUAAUGCUAUUGAUGAGAUAAAAAAUGGGGCUACCUUUGUUGAUAUAAACAAAAUUGCAAAUCCUCGGGGUGGGGGUCCAGCUUUGCAAAUCCAAGAAGAUAAUGGUGGUGGAAUGGAUCCUGAAGAGAUGAGGCGGUGUUUGAGCUUUGGAUUCUCGAAGAAAAUGAAAUGUGCUAUCGGACGAUAUGGAAAUGGCUUCAAGGCUAGCACUAUGAGACUGGGAGCUGAUGUUGUCGUCUUCAGUCGACAUAGAAACAUGAGGUCAUCAACUCAAAGUGUUGGACUCCUCUCUUAUACUUUUUUGAGAAGCAUGGGCCAUGAAAAGAUCAUCAUACCAAUGGUUGAUUAUGAAUUUAAUUCAUCAACUGAAUCAUUUGGACCCAUUUUUCAUCAUGGUAUGGAGCACUUCUCUUCAAAUCUGACCAUGCUACUGCAAUGGUCUCCUUAUUCAACAGAAGAUGAGUUUCUGAAGCAAUUUGAUGAUAUAGGGGAUCAAGGAACAAAAAUUGUGAUGUACAAUCUUUGGUUCAAUGAUGAUGGGGAUAUGGAAUUAGAUUUUGAUUCUGAUAUUGAGGAUAUCCGCAUUAGUGGGGACGUAAAAUUAUUUGGUGAACAUUCAAAACCAAUAUUCCAACAGCAUAUAGCAAAUGUAUACAAUUAUUCUCUUCGUGUAUAUUUGUCCAUCUUGUAUCUGCGGCUACCACAGUUUUUUAACAUAAAAUUGCGAGGACGUGUUGUGGAGCAACAUAAUAUUGCUGAUGAUCUUAAAUUUGCUGAAUUCAUCCUAUAUAGGCCACAAACUGGUGUAAAAGAUCAGACUGCAGUUAUUACUACAAUAGGGUUUCUGAAGGAAGCUCCAGAUGUAAAUGUCCAUGGGUUCAAUAUCUACUAUCGAAACCGACUUAUACUACCUUUUUGGCGUGUGCUUAGGAAUACAACAAACAGCAGCGGUAGGGGAAUUGUUGGUGUCCUGGAAGCAAAUUACAUAGAGCCUACUCAUAAUAAGCAAGAUUUUGAGAGGAGUUCCCUUUUUCAAAAGCUUGAAGACCGUUUAAAGCAAAUGACUAUAGAAUACUGGCAUUUGCACUGUGAAUUGAUUGGUUAUCAAGGGAAAAAAUCUUCUGCACUGCCUUCUCAGGAGAUGCAUUAUUCUGAAACUGGUACCAAGGAAGAAUUAAAUACAAAGCGAAGGGGGCCUGUUCCUCUAGCUGGUCAAGAAUUUGCUCGGGCCUAUGCUGCUGAUACCUGGCACAUAAUGGAAGACCAGUCUUACAUUAGAAGCAAGCAACAGGUGCAACGGGAAAAGGCAUCACUCGUAAUGCAACAAAACAAGAAGCUUCGUUUGCAGAUAUCAGAGUUAGAGAAAAAUGUGGAAGGCUUUUAUCUUAAGAUAUCCACCUGCCAUCAGACAUGCUGAUGCCAAUACCUAAACCGGGACAUCCUUCACAUGAUUCUUUCUCCAGUUCCCUGAAAGAUCGGAUCAGGAAGCGAGGGGAAUGAGGUGGAACAGCUUCAAAGCGAGCUAAUUGAAGUUCAACACGAGUGUACAAGACUUUUGGCAGAAUCAAAAGCAAUGGACAUAAUCGAUUAAGGGAGAUAUGUGACAGGAUACUGACUUCUAAAGAAACAAAAAAUGUGCAUAUAGUCUUUUUAUUCCAUCAGCCAUGAAGAUGACAUGUACAUAGAUUACUGGUGAAUGAAUCACAAAUACAGUAACCCUUUUUGACAGUACAGAUGGUAAUAGCAGCAACAUUUUAUCUGUAGAAAGCAAGGGCUACUUGUGUCCUAUAAACCAUAGCUUUGUUAAAUGAAAAAUCUGUUAGUUUCUUUGCGCAAUAGAAUCAUUUUCCCCUAGUAUGGCUUUUUUC
RNA transcript from Manihot esculenta (cassava), 2405 nucleotides. It is a transcript of the gene named protein MICRORCHIDIA 6, with no coding region annotated. The record is from RefSeq and is a predicted model, not a curated record. The transcript is spliced from 22 exons. NCBI's taxonomy places the organism in Eukaryota, Viridiplantae, Streptophyta, Magnoliopsida, Malpighiales, Euphorbiaceae.